Molecule: long non-coding RNA, 5528 nt
Filed under: Musa acuminata (dwarf banana)
Lineage: Eukaryota; Viridiplantae; Streptophyta; Magnoliopsida; Zingiberales; Musaceae
Description: long non-coding RNA (MACU_LNC001006)
Source: RNAcentral
UCUUCUUCUUGAUCUCGGGUCGAAUUAGGUGAGUGUCAGAAAGAGGAAUCAACGAUGGUUUCCUCCAUGAUGGUCUCCUCGGCUGCCACCUUCACCCGGGCUUCCCCGGCUCAAUCCAGCAUGGUGGCGCCGUUCACCGGCCUCAAGUCCGCCUCCGCCUUCCCUGUCACCAGGAAGCCCAACGCCGACCUCUCCCACCUCCCCAGCAAUGGCGGCCGAGUUCAGUGCAUGAAGGUACGCACGUACAAGGCUCGUGGCUCGAGUCGGAAACCUCUGUUACCGAGAUAGCCGUUACGAAUCAUAUACUGUGGAUGUAAUUCUUACGACAGGUGUGGCCGAUCGAGGGCAUGAAGAAGUUUGAGACCCUGUCCUACCUUCCGACACUGAAGGACGAGGAGUUGCUGAAGCAGAUCGAGUACCUUCUCCGCUCCAAAUGGAUUCCCUGCUUGGAGUUCUGCCCCGUAAGUAACUUCACCUGCCCCAUGGUGGGCAUCCGGUAACCUUGAUAUCCAGCAUGCAUACCGGGGAUUGAAGUCGAUCGUAAUGACCAUAACAGAAAGGGUUCGUGUGGCGCGAGAACCACCGGUCGCCGGGGUACUACGACGGGCGGUACUGGACCAUGUGGAAGCUGCCCAUGUUCGGGUGCACCGACGCUGUGCAGGUGGCGAAGGAGGUGGAGGAGUGCAAGAAGGAGUACCCCCACGCCUUCAUCCGCAUCAUCGGCUUCGACAACAACCGCCAGGUGCAGUGCAUCAGUUUCAUCGCCUACAAGCCGACCGGCUACUAGACGAUUCGGAUCCGGCUCUUCGGAUUUGCUUUCUUUGGUUCAGUGUUGGAUGUUUCCCCUUCUCUCGUUGUCUCCUCUACGCAACCGCCGACAGUGCAGCAGCGCACUGAGGCCGUCUAUGUUUUGUUUCCCCAAGAACGCGGAGCUUGUAUGUUAAGAAGUUUAUUAUGGACGUUCGCUUAUUUAUAAUAAAGGCUACCCAAUGUGUUUGAUUUUACCUGUAUCCGUCUGCUGUGGGUGGAAGAAUCCCGUACCGUAGUCGGCAGACGUGUGGUGUGGGGGUUGAAGCUUUGCUCUGGCCCAACCUAAUGUUAUCUGGGCUCUGUAUUGGGCCGAUCUCGGCCUACUUGGACGAUCAACCGCUGGGUCAACGGUCAAACACCGCGCGCAUGUCUUCUUCUUCUCCCUCCCCUACUAAUUUAAUGGAAAUAGAUAUAUGGACCCCCAAAAAAAAAAAAAAAAAAAUGUCAUCAUCUCGCAUCCGACGCACCAACAAACGCGCCGUGGCAAAAGCAGUACGAGAGGUUUCCUAUCGUCGUCGGUCGUGAAGAGUAGCAAAGUAGAUCGAGCCCAAGCGAGGAACGUCACGUGCGAGCAUAAUUCGUGUCGGCCCUUCGCUCGUGGUGGGGUACCGCCGCGGUGCCCGGUACCGUGUCGGAUGAUGUAUAUUAAUGAAGCCAACCGUGUGUGAUAUCUCAACUCAUGCUGUAAUCACCGUUUGAAUAGUUUGAUGAACGGUGUCCAUAUCCACAGCAUGCGUGACACAUUUGGUACCUACCCAUUAAAAUACAAUACCAUUCAGAGCACUCUCUCGAUUUAUUUUACUUUUUCUAUUAUUCUUCUUCUUCUUCUUCUUUUUUUCCUUUGGAUAAAUCCUCCUCCGACUCCCUUCUUCCCCAUUCCUAUCUCCUUCCCCUCUUCGGAUUCUCUCUCUCUCUCUCUCUCUCUCUCUCUAGUAGGGAGGCGGAUAAGGUACAUAAAAAUCCGGUCUUUGCCUCCUGCGCUUCUUUUUCUUCCCUUCUUCUUCGAUUCUGAGGGGUGAUCGGCUUCUUUUGUGGGAGAUCCCUCUCGUGGUGUCGCGCGCCGGUGGUUUUCCAAACAGAGUCGGGAUUUUUACUGGUUUUUGGAGUUUUCCUUCUUCUCGAAAUUUCGCACCCUCCUGCUUUUAUGGGAAACAGUGAAAUGUUCAAACUUGCCUGCAAAUACGUCCGAGUUUUCGUAGCUGCGGCGUUGUUUCUACCGGAUUCAAACGGAGAAAACCGCUUUUCUUGUUGGCUAAUUUAGUUGUCACGACAGGCGUUGCCAUCGUAAAGAUUGGGCGAACAUGAACCGCUGCGCGAUGCAACAGAACCCUUUCGCCGCCUACGAAGAGAUGAGGACCGCUUUCGCCGCCGCGGAAAGGAAGCCCCCUGUCUUCUGCCCGAAGCCCCGGCGGCUCAGCCCGCCCGCUGGCGUCGCCGAUCCGAUCUGGCCCCUCCGUUGGCACUCGAGGUUGACAUAUAUAACAACCCCUCCUCUGCUACGACACCGCAAAAGUUUCCCCUUUUCGUGUAUCUGAUUCCACCUCUCUCUGUCUCUCUCUUCUGCUCUUCUCAGUCGUCAAGCAGAUUUCUCCGAUUCGAACGCCGUGGCGGACCUUCUUGACAUCUUGCUCGCAAAGGUGAGAUUUUUUGUUGACGUUGUAAUAACAUGUGUAUUUGAUGUAGCUGAUACCGAAGAAAAUAGAUCUGGAAAACCUCUGUUAUUGACGUCUAUUAUCACGAUUUGUUCGCAGGAUGGUGAAGAACAGAACCGAGAGGCUUCUUCGCCGCCCUUCUUCUGCGGCUCGCCUCCAGACCGUGCGGCAAACCCGGUCGUCCAUGACGCCCGUUUCGGCGAGGACCGUCCGCCGCUGGCGCCGUUCGCCCCUGUGCAACCGACCCAGUCCGUCACGCCGAUGUCCCCCAAGCACGCCAAGUUCGGGCUCCUGCCGGCGGCCGUGCGGGUCGAGGGUUUUGAUUGCCUCGAUCGCGGCUGCAGCAGCAUCGCUGCUGUGGCCUGAACGCCCGCAUGCGCCUCCGAGCUUUCUUUUGGAGCGCGGUGAGAGGAAGAGUGAGAGGAAGGGAGAAUUGACAUCAACAAAUCAAAGAAACCAGCUGUAGGAGAAGAACAAGUUGGUAAUCUGGGAAUGCGUUUUGGCUCUCCAUGUAAACUGUACAUCUUACUAGUGGUGCACCAAUGUUGUGUACUAUUUGUGUGGGAGAAUUGUAUGUAGAUAUCAAAAUAAGGAAGAUAGAGAGUUAGGAGGAGGAGGAGAAGGAAAGCCAAGUUUUUUUGUGUUUUGUUUUGAUCCAUAUGGACGGUAAGAGGUUCUAUUUCAUCCUGUGCUGAAAUAUUCAUCAUCUUGUAUAGAACUCUUAGGAGGAAAUCCUCGAAUCAUGAAAUUGUGUAUCUAUUCAUCAUGUAUAAAAUUUUGUAUUCCUUUUCCUCUCUAUGUUUAUGGUGCCUCUUGGAGCUCUCGAGACGGUGGUGUUGCGAUUGAUGUGGCUGCCACCAGCGAAAAGAUGUUGCGCUUAGUGUUAAGAGCAUCGUUGGACGGAGAUGACUGGAGACGUGGCUUCGUGUUGGAAUAAUGUCAUCUUAUCAGAGCAGAUAUGGUCAAUAUCGUCGACUGAUACGAGAGGCGAUGGGUAAGGAGGAAGAGGUGGAGGAUAAGAAGGAAAUGGGGGCAGGAGGGCCCAGCAAAAGGGGUGUGAGGUCAUGUCUUCUCCACCGAGCUGUCUCUGUUCAAGUGGCGCUGUCGCGAAGAAAAAAAAUAACGAAGUCCAUGCCACCACCAUUCUUUGAAUUCUCCACAUGUGUUCGUCCGUGAUGACUGACUAAUUCAACAACGGAUGGAUCGACUCCGAGACGGACUAAAUGUUCUGUGCCUAACGAAGGAUGGACACAAGUGGAUAAUGCUUUGACAAAGGUGGCUAAUUGGCACGCGAUUUCCAGGGUCUUCUGUAUGCACAGAGUCAUGAGCUGUAAUAGGCCAAUGUCGUGAACUAUAUAAUAAAUACAUCGAUGGAAGUCAUGAGCAAGUGGGGAAAAGAAAAGCCUCGGCGAUUUCUUUCUACCCGUUGCCGUCCUGCUUUGCGUCCGACCGUCUCAUUCCAUCCCGCAUGAGAUACGGUGCUGUCGGAAGAGAUUCGGACUCGCAUUAGGUUCCGAUCUCUCCGAGCGUUCGUUCAGACACAUCGCCAGGGAAAAGAAAAAGAGUAGUAGAAUCCAUCCAACUUGUGCUUGCCAAAUAAGCAGAUAAGAGGAACGAAGGCUGGGUUCACAAGCAGUCAACGUGGCCACUUUCCACACCACGGCCUUCGUCCGCAGACCAUUCCUCAUCCCAUCCAAGUGAGUCCAAAAUCUCCACUGCUCACCUCAGGCGUGAAUGCAGAUAAAGAGGAAACAAAGCGGACGUGUCCUCUGCGGAACAUGUGGUCCGCCAUGCACGUAUCCCCUGUUACUCUUGGCCUCGGCGAGACGACGUGCCGAUCCAUGGGUGGAAGAGAGACGGAAGGAAUAGGAGAGAUCCCACGACGUGCAAUGUUUCAUCGCCCACCGUGCUGCACUCGCACAUGGUCUGCGGCUUCUCCCCGGCGCAUGGAAACCAAAUAUGGGAUCGGUGGGAGAAACAGGAUCGGAAACCUGUCUCCACGGUACCACUUUCCUUCCGGUACCCAACCGAUGAAGGGAUGCGUAGAGAUCGUAAUCGAAGCAUCUGACUGCAGGAACGCUUAGAGAAUUCACUCGUUGCAAGCACCAUAGCCUCGUCCUCGUACCAUGCCAUUCUCGAUGAAGGAAUCAGAAACUGGGCGAAGCGAAGGACAUGCCACGUAAAGCAGAAGAACAGGGCACAAAGAAAGGAUUCCGGUGGAGAAUAAAGAGGGAGGAGAGUCUGGUCCAUUGCUUUUGUCGACAGAUGGGUAUCGUUUGAGACCCACCUGGAUCGCUAUGGUGAUGAUAGAUAGAUAGAUAGAUUCUUGAUGUUUAUUCUCCCAUCAAAUCAGUAACAGGGAGGAGUGAAACGGAGCGAGAGAGAGGAGGGACAACACAUUUACGGAGAACCUACAUGUGUCGAGACAGGAAAACAAUGACAGGCUACAGGUGGGUUGCGUACACUCAAACCUUUGUCGCCGCAACUGGAUGCGAAUGGGAGCUGUCGGCGAAGCAAGCAAUCGGACCUGAGUUGGCUCACCGCAGAUGCCUAAUGAUUGACGCGGAAAAGGCCAAAUCGAAGAGAUUUGGUUUGCACGAUUGGGGUGUGCAGCCAACUCGGGUUGAGUCACCUGCUGCGGCGCCUUUGAUUAGCUCUUCCUCUGGUGGGGGUGGACGUGUCCACCUGUGGCCAUAAGACCCGCCGCGAGUGGUGGUCAAAACAAAGAAGGCCUUGGGAACGACGGAGGCCGACUUUAACGUGGCAAACGGCUGUGUGCCACCUUUACUGAUGUGCCCAAAUCUUUAACAAAAAUAAAUAUUCGUGGACCGCUGGGGUGCUGAGAGCAUCUGCUUUUUAUAAUACGAAAAGAAAAGCCUGUUCGUACGACAAUCUUACUCUGGCGGAGUGGCUGAAGGAACAUUCCUUUUUCUUCUUAUAUAUAUAAUUACUUUCUUCGUGUUCGUGAGCUCCAACUCAGAAACUUCCCUUCGUUCCUAUCUUUACACAUGUUUGCCUGAAUAGAUGCUUGGAGGUGCUGUCAACGUAAGAACGCUUGAAACUGAU